Molecule: ribosomal RNA, 512 nt
Filed under: uncultured bacterium
Lineage: Bacteria
Description: partial 16S ribosomal RNA
Rfam family: Bacterial small subunit ribosomal RNA
Source: RNAcentral
GAUGAACGCUGGCGGCAUGCCUAAUACAUGCAAGUCGAACGAGAGGAAGGAAAGCUUGCUUUUCUGAAUCUAGUGGCGAACGGGUGAGUAACACGUAGGUAACCUGCCCAUGUGCCCGGGAUAACUUCUGGAAACGGAUGCUAAAACCGGAUAGGUAGCAGACAAGCAUUUGACUGCUAUUAAAGUGGCUAAGGCCAUGAACAUGGAUGGACCUGCGGUGCAUUAGCUAGUUGGUGAGGUAACGGCCCACCAAGGCGACGAUGCAUAGCCGGCCUAGGAGGGCGGACGGCCACAUUGGGACGGAGACACGGCCCAAACUCAGACGGGAGUCAGCAGUAGGGAAUUUUCGUCAAUGGGGGGAACCCUGAACGAGCAAUGCCGCGUGAGUGGGGAAGGUCUUCGGAUCGUAAAGCUCUGUUGUAAGAGAAAAACGACAUUCAUAGGGAAUGAUGAGUGAGUGAUGGUAUCUUACCAGAAAGUCACGGCUAACUACGUGCCAGCAGCCGCGGUAA